UGCGGAGGGAUCAUUACCGAGUUUACAACUCCCAAACCCCUGUGAACAUACCACUUGUUGCCUCGGCGGAUCAGCCCGCUCCCGGUAAAACGGGACGGCCCGCCAGAGGACCCCUAAACUCUGUUUCUAUAUGUAACUUCUGAGUAAAACCAUAAAUAAAUCAAAACUUUCAACAACGGAUCUCUUGGUUCUGGCAUCGAUGAAGAACGCAGCAAAAUGCGAUAAGUAAUGUGAAUUGCAGAAUUCAGUGAAUCAUCGAAUCUUUGAACGCACAUUGCGCCUGCCAGUAUUCUGGCGGGCAUGCCUGUUCGAGCGUCAUUUCAACCCUCAAGCACAGCUUGGUGUUGGGACUCGCGUUAAUUCGCGUUCCCCAAAUUGAUUGGCGGUCACGUCGAGCUUCCAUAGCGUAGUAGUAAAACCCUCGUUACUGGUAAUCGUCGCGGCCACGCCGUUAAACCCCAACUUCUGAAUGUUGACCUCGGAUCAGGUAGGAAUACCCGCUGAACUUAAGCAUAUCAAUA
This 521-nucleotide ribosomal RNA is filed under the name Fusarium oxysporum f. sp. lycopersici. RNAcentral's name for it is "eukaryotic LSU rRNA". The stretch from base 165 to 318 matches the Rfam family "5.8S ribosomal RNA". The record is from RNAcentral. Lineage: Eukaryota; Fungi; Ascomycota; Sordariomycetes; Hypocreales; Nectriaceae.